This 441-nucleotide ribosomal RNA is filed under the name Salmonella enterica subsp. enterica serovar Litchfield. Its description in RNAcentral is "bacterial SSU rRNA". It matches the Rfam family "Bacterial small subunit ribosomal RNA", at positions 30 to 486 of the family's 1533-position model. Lineage: Bacteria; Pseudomonadati; Pseudomonadota; Gammaproteobacteria; Enterobacterales; Enterobacteriaceae. The record is from RNAcentral.
UGAACGCUGGCGGCGUGCCUAAUACAUGCAAGUCGAACGAUGAAGCUUCUAGCUUGCUAGAAGUGGAUUAGUGGCGCACGGGUGAGUAAGGUAUAGUUAAUCUGCCCUACACAAGAGGACAACAGUUGGAAACGACUGCUAAUACUCUAUACUCCUGCUUAACACAAGUUGAGUAGGGAAAGUUUUUCGGUGUAGGAUGAGACUAUAUAGUAUCAGCUAGUUGGUAAGGUAAUGGCUUACCAAGGCUAUGACGCUUAACUGGUCUGAGAGGAUGAUCAGUCACACUGGAACUGAGACACGGUCCAGACUCCUACGGGAGGCAGCAGUAGGGAAUAUUGCGCAAUGGGGGAAACCCUGACGCAGCAACGCCGCGUGGAGGAUGACACUUUUCGGAGCGUAAACUCCUUUUCUUAGGGAAGAAUUCUGACGGUACCUAAGGAA